Molecule: long non-coding RNA, 233 nt
Filed under: Lathyrus oleraceus (garden pea)
Lineage: Eukaryota; Viridiplantae; Streptophyta; Magnoliopsida; Fabales; Fabaceae
Description: Pisum sativum (pea) long non-coding RNA (PSAT_LNC005346)
Source: RNAcentral
AUGAAUUCUUGAUAAAAAUGACAAGUAAAGAACAUGGGGAUCCAUAUAUGAUGCUUAGAACCAAUUUGGACCGUUGCUUUCUUUAUCUCUUGCAUUAAGGGGCUCAAAUCCUAGUUGUGGGCUUGGUGGGGCACAAAUGGACAAACAUACUACCUACAAAAGAAACAAAGCUAUACUAGACAUAUUUUUGUAUUUUUGGUUAGUAAAAAAAAGAAAAAAAAGUAUGAUACAAU